This 773-nucleotide ribosomal RNA is filed under the name uncultured Neocallimastigales. RNAcentral describes it as "partial large subunit ribosomal RNA". It matches the Rfam family "Eukaryotic large subunit ribosomal RNA", at positions 23 to 645 of the family's 3401-position model. The record is from RNAcentral. Lineage: Eukaryota; Fungi; Neocallimastigomycota; Neocallimastigomycetes; Neocallimastigales.
AGAGAGAGACAUGCGCGCAUAUCAAUAAGCGGAGGAAAAGAAACUAACUAGGAUUCCCUCAGUAACGGCGAGUGAAGCGGGAAGAGCUCAAAUUUGAAAUCUUCAAGGUUCUACCUUGACGAAUUGUAGUUUAAAGAAGUGUUUUCUGUUGGAGUUUUGGUAAAAGUUCUUUGGAAUAGGACAUCAUAGAGGGUGAGAAUCCCGUAUUUGACCAUUAUUUCCAGCUUUGUGAUACACUUUCAAAGAGUCGGAUUGUUUGGGAAUGCAGUCCAAAAUGGGUGGUAAAUUUCAUCUAAAGCUAAAUAUUGGCGAGAGACCGAUAGCGAACAAGUACCGUGAGGGAAAGAUGAAAAGAACUUUGAAAAGAGAGUUAAACAGUACGUGAAAUUGUCAAAAGGGAAGCGUUUGACACCAGUGUUGUUUUUCUGAAAAUCAAUUAAAAAAGGCAGGAUUUUGUGUUGUAUUGACUUUAUCAGCUUUCUGCACUCUUUUCUUGUCUUUUUUAAUGCACUUUUCGUUUAACAAGUCAACAUCAAUUUCUUUUGCUGUAAAAAAGCUUGAGGAAGGUGGCUUGAGAUUCGUCUUAAGUGUUUAUAGCCUCUUGCCUAUGCAGUCGGAGAGAUUGAGGUCUGCAGCGUAGAUCCUUCGGGGUUAGAUACAUUUGUGCUAAGUUAUAGCCUUUCAUAGACAACUUGUUGACUAUGAUCAGUCAUGUAGCUUACUCGCUUAUGCUAUUUUACCUACGCUUAGGAUGUUGAUGUGAUACUGCGAGC